GGUGGGGCGGGCCGGACGCGCCGCGGGGGCCCGGGCGCCGCGGGUUCGAGGCCGGGCCCCGCGCGGGGAGGCCGCGUCACCCCGGGGGAGCUGCCCGGCGGCGAGUUUGCCCCGCUGCCGAAAGAAGGCGGGAGCCGACGGGGGCCUUCGAAACCCCCUGGCAACCCGGGCCCGGAGUCCCUAGGGAGCGGCCGCUUCCUGAGACGCCCUCCGGGAACGCCAGUGUCGCAGGGUAGCUGCGGUGAGCCCCCUCAGCAAGAGGGGCCUCCGGGUGACCCCCGUGAGCCGCCCGAGUCGACCCCGGGGCCUCUCGCCCUGGAGGUAGAGGGUUCCCGGAGACUCGCGGCCGAGAGGUCUGAGGGAGCAGGGCCUCUGGGACGCGGGGCAAGGUAGCCCUGGUGUGGAGACGGACUCUGGGACUCUCGGGUUCGGGGGUCUCGGCGACCUGCCCCGCAGGGAGUGCGGCCGCGGAGUGGCCUGCAGGGGACCUUGCCCCAGAGGGGCCGACGCGGAGCGGGGAGAUGAACGGCUUCAGCACGGAGGAGGACAGCCGCGAAGGGCCCCCAGCCUCCGCCGCCAACGCCGCCAACGCCGCCGCCGCCCCGGGCUACGGCCAGAGCUGCUGCCUCAUCGAGGACGGGGAGCGCUGCGUCCGGCCCGCGGGCAACGCCUCCUUCAGCAAGAGGGUGCAGAAGAGCAUCUCGCAGAAGAAACUCAAGCUGGACAUCGACAAGAGCGUAAGGCACCUAUAUAUCUGCGACUUCCACAAAAAUUUCAUCCAGAGUGUCCGAAAUAAAAGGAAGAGGAAGACAAGUGACGAUGGUGGAGAUUCUCCUGAACACGACACUGACAUUCCUGAGGUUGAUCUGUUCCAGCUGCAAGUGAACACCCUACGACGUUAUAAACGACACUACAAGCUGCAGACCAGACCAGGCUUCAAUAAGGCCCAGUUAGCAGAAACUGUCAGCCGACACUUCAGGAAUAUACCUGUGAAUGAAAAAGAGACCCUCGCCUAUUUCAUCUACAUGGUGAAAAGCAACAAGAGCAGACUGGACCAGAAAUCAGAGGGCAGCAAGCAGCUUGAAUGAAGACAAAGCCCAUGAUAUAUAAUGCUUAAUGCACAGGAAAGCUGCCAAGGACCAUAAGACUCCUGCUCAGAAGCUCAGCUGUGGGGUAGAAAGUCUGCUGACCUUGAAUCCCUGGGCUCUCUCUGAUAGCACAUCAUGAAUUUGAGCAACCAAGUGGAGAGAAACAGCAGUGCAUUUCUGUACAAGAAGACGUGGUAUCAGGAUCCACCUGUUGAAGUGUGUCUGUAAGAUGACUUUUGUUCCAAAGUGAGACCUAGGUGAAUUUUCACCUUCAGCUGAAGGCUGUGCAUACUUGAGUCUUCAUGUCAUCUUGAAAAGUGCUUUGGAAAGUGGAAAUUAUAGAUAUCUUUUUCAGCUUUUUAAAAACAGAUCGGUUGAGAUGAAGAGACACCGUUGUUUGAAGUUCACUCAUGUCCAGAUAUCUGUUCUUUCAUCAAACCACUAAACCACUUGCCUUAGCCUCUUCCACAAUUGCUGACAGCUUCAUCUGUGUGUACAACACUUCUGCCUGUGAGCAACAGCAGGCCUUCCGCAACAACAGGCUCUGGUUAGAGGGAGCAGUGGGGCUGGGGAAAGCAAUGUGGGGCAUGGCUACCUGCAUUCUUACACCACCUGUCAGAUGCGUGUGCUUCUCUCCAGGUGUGACUGCAGCAUUGCCUUCUCUCCUCUUGGUGCUCCUGGGCGAAACGAAUGUGACACCCAGAACUGGCAUUGUCUUGUCUAACAGUUACGGUUCCUGCCUCUGUUCCAGCAUGGCAAGGUUCCUUGAUGUGCCCUGAAGGUGGUCACAAGAAAACGUCAGUAUCCUGCCAUUUGUGUUUUUUCAUUUUGUUUUCAAAAAACAAACGGACAAACUUCUUUCAAAGAACAGACUCUUAGGUUGGCCGACAGCAUGUAAUAAUGAUCAUAGCUGAAUCUCAUGAAAGAUUGAAACCAAAGGAUUCAAGACAGUAUUGUAAACUGAAGAAUUUCAUUGAUGUGUUACAGCUGCCAAGUUAUCAGAUGUUCUCUUGCAGCUAAAUAGUCACAGCUAGCCUCUUGAAGAACAGCUAGAAUGUUGAGUUGGCAUUUGGGCUGUUUAUUUUGUGGGAACUUUUUGUUACUAACCUGUUCAACAUCUGCCUGGUAGAAGGGAGAGAAAGUGGGGAUGGAAACUGCUUGUUGAAUAGGUUGUCCUCGGUGUGUGUCCCAGGGGAAUUUGGCCCUGGACAUCACCUGAAAACUCUCAACCAUUUUAAGGAUAAGGCCCAAAAGUUGUGAAAGGACUUUACAUUGCCUAGCCCAGUCUCCCCUUAGGUGCUGACAUGCUGCUUUACAACUAUCCCAGCAAGGGGUUGAGCAGUCUGGACUUAAACACCUCUGAGGACAGAGAACUCACUACCUCCUGGGGAACCUGUUCUAUCCUUGUAAACCUCUGGCUUUUCUGUAUUCUCUGUCACUUCCAUCUGCUGCAUGGUGCCCAUGUGGAACAAGUUUAUUUUGACCAAGUACCUAAUUGCACUAUCCCAGGGCAUAAUGUGUUUGGGAAAGGAGAAGCGAGGACAUAGGCAGUCUUACGUUCUGACUGUCCUUGUCCCCGAGUAUUGGUCUACUUAGUUCCUUGUUGGAGAAUGUGGAAGAAACCCCAUUAGUCUGGCUGUACUCCUUUGUUCCUGUCAAAGUGGUGACAUGGGACAGGAGCAGGGAGGAUGUUAGCACCUUGCUAAAAAAAAAAUCUCUUAAGACAGAUGAGGCUUUAGAUGUGUGCUUGUCCUACAAAAACUAAUACUCACAGCAUCACUUAGGGUAAACUUUACUCAGAACAUUAUAAAAUGUCAUUGCUAUGCGUGAAGUUUGGAGGUCCCAUGGUUGCCAGCAGUGUGUACCUUGUGAUUCCUUUAACAACCUCACACAAUUUUCACUGAAAAAGCAAAGGUGAAAAACUUGAGAGUGGAAAGUCAUGUCUCAGCAUCAGAGAAGUGCCAUAAUGAAAGUCCUUUUUAAGUUACAAUUGUCCAAUCCAUUUUUAAGGAUAAAAAAACAAAAUUCAGGAUUUGCUUGAGGUGAUGUGGCAUUAUCAAACUAUUUUCUAGUCCUCUUUAACUGUCCAGCAUUCAGAUCACCUUCUGACUUAAAGAAUGCAUCUAAUUCAGUCAAAAAUAAGCUGCCCUCAGAUUCUAGAGAAUUUGUAACAGAGCAGGCCACCCUGGUUCUCAGGGACAAUGAACCACCCUUCAGAAUUUAGGGUUGAAUUCCAAAUGGUUGGACUAGACAAGCUUUUGUAAAACCAGUAAUAAAGGGAAAACAGAUCUGUUAAUUCAGACCAAGGUUCACAAGCUUUCAUAGGAGAUAUCUUGUCCUAGAAUCAGUUCUCGUGAAAUGGGCUUGGUGCUGAGGGGUCCAUUUUCCACUUCCAAGCAGUCCUUUGAGAGUAUGCAGUUCAGCUGACUCUGGCCCCUGGCCCUCCUGCUGAGCGCUGCAGUUGAAAAACAGGUGAACUGAAGGUCUUGCCCUAGGGAAGUAGUGUGCCAUUUACUCCUUUCAUUAUUACAGACUGUUCCCACAAUUAUAAUUAGGAAGGGUCAAGUUGAUUGUAGUUUGAAGUAGAAUCCAGCCUGAGGCAAGGUGGGACCUCUUGAGGCAAAAAAAGAAAGUCUAUACUCAGUUGUUGCAUCAAGCUUAUAUCUUGACACACCUACUCUUCAGUUGCUUUCAUCUACUGAAUACAUUUACCAGCGACACAGGGGUGAACAGGAUUCCUGUUUAGCAUCGCUGUUGUCCUGUGCUCAUCAGAGUAUUUUGGGGUAUGGGUCUUUUCCUUUCUCCAUUUUGUAAAUGCCUUAUUGAAAAGUAAGUGCCCUUCCAUUCCAGGCCUCCUCAUAUUGUACUUGUUUCCUGCCAAAAUUCGGGAGAUUGUUUGUGUUUUAAUUUUAUAAUCUAUGGCUCUGUACUGUUUGAAAGACUCUCAAUUCUAUGAGGUCUCUUUGUAUGUAUGUGACUUUCAUGCUGCAGUAUCGCACAGAUGAGAUGGCUCUUAAUAAAUGAUCUGAAUGAGUAAGAGA
RNA transcript from Ochotona princeps (American pika), 4129 nucleotides. It is a transcript of the gene named SAP30 like, with no coding region annotated. The record is from RefSeq and is a predicted model, not a curated record. Lineage: Eukaryota; Metazoa; Chordata; Mammalia; Lagomorpha; Ochotonidae. The transcript has 6 exons.